UACGGAGGAGGCAAGCGUUAUCCGGAAUUAUUGGGCGUAAAGCGCACGUAGGCGGACCGGAAAGCCAGAUGUGAAAUCCCCGGGCUUAACCUGGGAAUGGCAUUUGGGACUGUAAGGCUAGAGUAUGGCAGAGGAGACUAGAAUUCCUGGUGUAGCAGUGAAAUGCGUAGAUAUCAGGAGGAAUACCGAUGGCGAAGGCAGGUCUCUGGGUCAAUACUGACGCUCAUGCACGAAAGCGUGGGGAGCAAACAGG
RNAcentral lists this ribosomal RNA (253 nucleotides) under uncultured bacterium. RNAcentral's name for it is "partial 16S ribosomal RNA". It matches the Rfam family "Bacterial small subunit ribosomal RNA", at positions 524 to 776 of the family's 1533-position model. The record is from RNAcentral.